CAAUAGCGUAUAUUAAAGUUGUUGCAGUUAAAAAGCUCGUAGUUGGAUUUCUGGUUGAAGCGACCGGUCGGGCGUUGAUUCGUCUGCACUGGAGUCGGUUUUGGCCAUCCUCUAGGAAAGUGCGUCUGGUAUUAAGUUAUCGGGCGUAUGAUCCUGGUCUUUUACUGUGAAAAAAUUAGAGUGUUUAAAGCAGGCCUUCGCCUUGAAUACAUUAGCAUGGAAUAAUAAGAUAGGACUUUGGUCUAUUUUGUUGGUUUGCAGACCGAAGUAAUGAUUAAUAGGGAUAGUUGGGGGUAUUUAUAUUCCGAUGUCAGAGGUGAAAUUCUUAGAUUUUCGGAAGAUAAACUUAUGCGAAAGCAUUUACCAAGGAUGUUUUCAUCAA
Molecule: ribosomal RNA, 382 nt
Filed under: uncultured eukaryote
Lineage: Eukaryota
Description: partial 18S ribosomal RNA
Rfam family: Eukaryotic small subunit ribosomal RNA
Source: RNAcentral